This is a long non-coding RNA of Bombus terrestris (buff-tailed bumblebee), 270 nucleotides long. RefSeq lists it as uncharacterized. Lineage: Eukaryota; Metazoa; Arthropoda; Insecta; Hymenoptera; Apidae. The transcript has 2 exons. The record is from RefSeq and is a predicted model, not a curated record.
CGAUAUAUGUGGUGAUUGUUGAUAUACGUGAAGAAGUGAGUGCGCACGCGCGCGCGCGCGAUCCGAAAGGCCGCGAUGACGAGUUACGAACGCUUGGUUAUUGCCGACGAGAAGCCUGGCGCCGUCUGCGAGACGAUAUGCUGGCAUCGUUUUGCGGAAAAGGUAGAGACAUCCUGUACGUUAAUUAAUUACCAUUUACUUUUAAAACGAAGUUAAGGAAUAGUAUUAUAUUAUACUUUUAUCGUGUAAUAAUAAUCUAUGUAGGAUUUU